AACGAACGCUGGCGGCAGGCCUAACACAUGCAAGUCGAGCGGACCUUUCGGGGUCAGCGGCGGACGGGUGAGUAACGCGUGGGAAUAUGCCCUUCUCUACGGAAUAGUCCUGGGAAACUGGGGGUAAUACCGUAUACGCCCUUUGGGGGAAAGAUUUAUCGGGGAAGGAUUAGCCCGCGUUGGAUUAGGUAGUUGGUGGGUAAUGGCCUACCAAGCCGACGAUCCAUAGCUGGUUUGAGAGGAUGAUCAGCCACACUGGGACUGAGACACGGCCCAGACUCCUACGGGAGGCAGCAGUGGGGAAUCUUAGACAAUGGGGGCAACCCUGAUCUAGCCAUGCCGCGUGAGUGAUGAAGGCCUUAGGGUUGUAAAGCUCUUUCAGCUGGGAAGAUAAUGACGGUACCAGCAGAAGAAGCCCCGGCUAACUCCGUG
This 432-nucleotide ribosomal RNA is filed under the name uncultured bacterium. Its description in RNAcentral is "partial 16S ribosomal RNA". It matches the Rfam family "Bacterial small subunit ribosomal RNA", at positions 29 to 507 of the family's 1533-position model. The record is from RNAcentral.